AAGUCUUUAGUAUAUUUAGUAUAUUUAAUUGCAGAUUAAAUGGUAAUGGACUU
This 53-nucleotide transfer RNA is filed under the name Strongyloides procyonis. Its description in RNAcentral is "tRNA-Cys". Lineage: Eukaryota; Metazoa; Nematoda; Chromadorea; Rhabditida; Strongyloididae. The record is from RNAcentral.